GACGAACGCUGGCGGCGUGCUUAACACAUGCAAGUCGAACGGAAAGGCCUCUUUCGGGGGGUACUCGAGUGGCGAACGGGUGAGUAACACGUGAGUAACCUGCCCUUGACUUUGGGAUAACUUCAGGAAACUGGGGCUAAUACCGGAUAGGAGCUCCUGCUGCAUGGUGGGGGUUGGAAAGUUUCGGCGGUUGGGGAUGGACUCGCGGCUUAUCAGCUUGUUGGUGGGGUAGUGGCUUACCAAGGCUUUGACGGGUAGCCGGCCUGAGAGGGUGACCGGCCACAUUGGGACUGAGAUACGGCCCAGACUCCUACGGGAGGCAGCAGUGGGGAAUAUUGCACAAUGGGUGGAAGCCUGAUGCAGCAACGCCGUGUGCGGGAUGACGGCCUCGGGUUGUAACGCUUCGCUCAUGACGAAGGCUUCGUGUGACGGUAGU
Molecule: ribosomal RNA, 436 nt
Filed under: uncultured bacterium
Lineage: Bacteria
Description: bacterial SSU rRNA
Rfam family: Bacterial small subunit ribosomal RNA
Source: RNAcentral